Molecule: ribosomal RNA, 523 nt
Filed under: uncultured eukaryote
Lineage: Eukaryota
Description: bacterial SSU rRNA
Rfam family: Eukaryotic small subunit ribosomal RNA
Source: RNAcentral
GAUUCGAACCACCUAACGAGGAACGAUCGGAGGGCAAGUCUGGUGCCAGCAGCCGCGGUAAUUCCAGCUCCAAUAGCGUACGUUAAAGUUGCUGCAGUUAAAAAGCUCGUAGUUGAACGUUCGGGUUCCGCGGGACGGGGCCGCCCCGCGAGGGACGGCGCCGCCCCGGGGCUCGUGAUAUCUUAUCUCGCCGCCCGUCGCGAGGCGGACGGAGGGAUGGAUGAGGUUACCUGGAAAAAAUCGGGGCGAUCUAGGCGGGCGAACCUCGCCAACGAACGAUCGGACAUGGGAUAACGGAAGAGGGCGUCGGCUCGACUUCGUCGGUUCCUCGGGCCGAGGCACGUACGGUGAAUAGGGGACGGUCGGGGCCGCCCGUUACCGGGUCGUGAGAGGUGAAAUUCUAGGAUCGACCCGAGACGAACUGCCGCGAAAAGCAUUCGGCAAGGACGCUUUCAUUAAUCAAGAACGAAAGUCGGGGGAUCGAAGACGAUCAGAUACCGUCGUAGUCCCGACCGUAAACGAU